GUCAGUGGCUGCGGGCGCGUGCGCGGGUGGCCGGGCUGGUCGGGCUCGGUCGGUUCGCGCGGAACGGGGCCGGUUCGGCCCAAAACGGCCGGGCCGGUCCGGUUUUCUCCCUUUUUCUUUUCUUUUUAGCCUUUUCUUUUUCCCUUUUUCUCAUUUCGUUGAUAUCUUUUGAUUUUGAACUCCAAAUUGGCCCAAAUGAAUUCCAGAAAAUUUGUAAAAUCAUCUUUUAUCAUGAUUCAACUUGUGGGAGUAAUUUCUCCUCAAAAUAAAAUACCUAAAAAUACAUUGCCCUAUAAAUGCCUUAAAUAAAAUAGUUUUUCAACUAUUUAAAUAAAAUAGUUUUUCAACUCCAAAUAAUUAUCCAAAAAUUAUGGGAUAGCUUAUUUAUGCAUUAAACCCCUUUUAUAAAUAAACCUUGUUGGUUUGA
This 427-nucleotide long non-coding RNA is filed under the name Brachypodium distachyon (stiff brome). Its description in RNAcentral is "long non-coding RNA (BDIS_LNC003367)". Lineage: Eukaryota; Viridiplantae; Streptophyta; Magnoliopsida; Poales; Poaceae. The record is from RNAcentral.